ACCCCGCUGAACUUAAGCAUAUCAAUAAGCGGAGGAAAAGAAAAUAACAAUGAUUCCCCUAGUAACUGCGAGUGAAGAGGGACAAGCUCAAAUUUUAAAUCUAUCGGGUUUUACCCGAUCGAGUUGUAAUUUGAAGAGGCGUUUUCUGUGUUUCUGAUCAGUCCAAGUCCUUUGGGAUAAGGCAUCAUGGAGGGUGAGAAUCCCGUCCGGUUGAUCAGAUUCGCUUUACGAUACGCUUUCUAAGAGUCAAGUUGUUUGGGAUUGCAGCUUAAAAUGGGAGGUAAAUUUCUCCUAAGGCUAAAUAACGGCGAGAGACCGAUAGCGAACAAGUACCGUGAGGGAAAGAUGAAAAGAACUUUGAAAAGAGAGUUAAACAGUACGUGAAAUUGUUGAAAGGGAAACGAUUGAAGCCAGUCGUACCUAUGGGUAAUCAGCCUUUUGGGUGUGAUUUUGUGGAGCGUGAGGAGUUAAACGCCUUCAUGCCUGCAUAUUCGUGCACUUUGGGUGUACUUGCCCGUAUGGUUGGUUAACAUCAAUUUUGGUGGUCAUAAAAUGACUGGAGGAAUGUAGCUUCGAUCUCGUAUUGAAGUGUUAUAGCCUUCGGUAGAUGUGAUGAUCGAGAUUGAGGAUUGCAACGGAUACCCUUCGGGGCUACCUGUCUGAUCUCUGAUCGUUGCUCUGGUGCCGAAAGCUUGCUUACGGUUAUCAAAGUCGAUGGUCAAUAGGUUAGAACGGGUUAAAUUCGUUAAGGAUGUUGACGUAAUGGCUUUAAACGACCCGUCUUGAAACACGGACCAAGGAGUCUAACAUAUAUGCGAGUGUUAGGGUGAUUAAACCCUUACGCGUAAUGAAAGUAAUUUUGGUGGGAACAUUUUUGUGCACCAUCGACCGAUCAGGAUAUUUUUUGAUAGAUUUGAGUAAGAGCAUAUCUGCUAGGACCCGAAAGAUGGUGAACUAUGCCUGAAUAGGGUGAAGUCAGAGGAAACUCUGAUGGAGGCUCGUAGCGGUUCUGACGUGCAAAUCGAUCGUCAAAUUUGGGUAUAGGGGCGAAAGACUAAUCGAACCAUCUAGUAGCUGGUUCCUGCCGAAGUUUCCCUCAGGAUAGCAGAAACUCGUUAACAGUUUUAUGAGGUAAAGCGAAUGAUUAGAGGCCUUAGGGUUGAAACAGCCUUAACCUAUUCUCAAACUUUAAAUAUGUAAGAAGUUUAUCGUUACUUAAUUGAACGUGAACAUU
This 1234-nucleotide ribosomal RNA is filed under the name Rhizophagus sp. MUCL 43203. RNAcentral's name for it is "eukaryotic LSU rRNA". It matches the Rfam family "Eukaryotic large subunit ribosomal RNA", at positions 24 to 1109 of the family's 3401-position model. Lineage: Eukaryota; Fungi; Glomeromycota; Glomeromycetes; Glomerales; Glomeraceae. The record is from RNAcentral.